GAAAUGCGAUAAGUAAUGUGAAUUGCAGAAUUCAGUGAAUCAUCGAAUCUUUGAACGCACCUUGCGCUCCUUGGUAUUCCUUGGAGCAUGCCUGUUUGAGUAUCAUGAAAUCUUCAAAGUAAAUCUUUUGUUAACUCAAUUGGUUUCUACUUUGGUAUUGGAGGUCUUUGCAGCUUCACACCUGCUCCUCUUUGUUCAUUAGCUGGAUCUCAGUGUUAUGCUUGGUUCCACUCGGCGUGAUAAGUUAUCUAUCGCUGAGGACACUGUAAAAGGUGGCCAAGGUAAAUGCAGAUGAACCGCUUCUAAUAGUCCAUUGACUUGACAAUACUUUUAUGAUCUGAUCUCAAAUCAGGUAGGACUACCCGCUGAACUUAAGC
Molecule: unclassified non-coding RNA, 377 nt
Filed under: plant metagenome
Description: partial contains 5.8S ribosomal RNA, internal transcribed spacer 2, and large subunit ribosomal RNA
Rfam family: 5.8S ribosomal RNA (bases 1-105)
Source: RNAcentral